Molecule: ribosomal RNA, 482 nt
Filed under: uncultured bacterium
Lineage: Bacteria
Description: partial 16S ribosomal RNA
Rfam family: Bacterial small subunit ribosomal RNA
Source: RNAcentral
GACGAACGCUGGCGACGUGCCUAACACAUGCAAGUCGAACGGAACUGUUUUGAAAGAUUUCUUCGGAAUGAAUUUGAUUUAGUUUAGUGGCGGACGGGUGAGUAACGCGUGAGUAACCUGCCUUCAAGAGGGGAAUAACAUUCUGAAAAGAAUGCUAAUACCGCAUGACAUAUCGGAACCACAUGGUUUUGAUAUCAAAGAUUUUAUCGCUUGAAGAUGGACUCGCGUCCGAUUAGUUAGUUGGUGAGGUAACGGCUCACCAAGACCGCGAUCGGUAGCCGGACUGAGAGGUUGAACGGCCACAUUGGGACUGAGACACGGCCCAGACUCCUACGGGAGGCAGCAGUGGGGGAUAUUGCGCAAUGGGGGCAACCCUGACGCAGCAACGCCGCGUGAAGGAUGAAGGUUUUCGGAUUGUAAACUUCUUUUAUUAAGGACGAAAAAUGACGGUACUUAAUGAAUAAGCUCCGGCUAACUACGUG